This 680-nucleotide ribosomal RNA is filed under the name uncultured bacterium. Its description in RNAcentral is "bacterial SSU rRNA". It matches the Rfam family "Bacterial small subunit ribosomal RNA", at positions 111 to 806 of the family's 1533-position model. The record is from RNAcentral.
GAACACGUGAGGAAUCUGCCUUCAACACUGGGAUAACCCCGGGAAACCGGGGCUAAUACCGGAUACGAGCUCUGAUCGCAUGAUCGGGGCUGGAAAGUUUUUCGGUUGAAGAUGACCUCGCGGCCUAUCAGCUUGUUGGUGAGGUAAUGGCUCACCAAGGCGACGACGGGUAGCCGGCCUGAGAGGGCGACCGGCCACACUGGGACUGAGACACGGCCCAGACUCCUACGGGAGGCAGCAGUGGGGAAUAUUGGGCAAUGGAGGAAACUCUGACCCAGCGACGCCGCGUGCGGGAUGAAGGCCUUCGGGUUGUAAACCGCUUUCAGUAGGGAAGAAGCGAAAGUGACGGUACCUACAGAAGAAGCACCGGCUAACUAUGUGCCAGCAGCCGCGGUAAUACAUAGGGUGCAAGCGUUGUCCGGAAUUAUUGGGCGUAAAGAGCCCGUAGGUGGUUUGAUACGUCGGGUGUGAAAUUCAGGGGCUCAACCCCUGACCUGCAUUCGAUACGGUCAAGCUGGAGUUUGGUAGGGGAGACUGGAAUUCCUGGUGUAGCGGUGGAAUGCGCAGAUAUCAGGAGGAACACCGAUGGCGAAGGCAGGUCUCUGGGCCAAUACUGACACUGAGGAGCGAAAGCGUGGGGAGCGAACAGGAUUAGAUACCCUGGUAGUCCACGCCGUAAA